AAGGUUUUAAGUUAAUAAAACUAAUAAUCUUCAAAAUUAUAAAUAAAGUUAAUAAAUUCUUUAAGCCUUA
Molecule: transfer RNA, 70 nt
Filed under: Delias pasithoe
Lineage: Eukaryota; Metazoa; Arthropoda; Insecta; Lepidoptera; Pieridae
Also listed under: 1 other name
Description: tRNA-Trp
Source: RNAcentral